GUAGGUAUAGCUCAGUUGGUUAGAGCAUCGGGUUGUGGUUCCGAGGGCCGUGGGUUCAAGUCCCAUUAUCUACCCCA
This 77-nucleotide transfer RNA is filed under the name Aliarcobacter thereius. Its description in RNAcentral is "Arcobacter thereius tRNA-His". It matches the Rfam family "tRNA". From Rfam's summary of the family: Transfer RNA (tRNA) molecules are approximately 80 nucleotides in length. Lineage: Bacteria; Pseudomonadati; Campylobacterota; Epsilonproteobacteria; Campylobacterales; Arcobacteraceae. RNAcentral also lists the same sequence under 2 other names. The record is from RNAcentral.